Molecule: ribosomal RNA, 210 nt
Filed under: Bacillus sp. (in: firmicutes)
Lineage: Bacteria; Bacillati; Bacillota; Bacilli; Caryophanales; Bacillaceae
Description: Bacillus sp. (in: Bacteria) partial 16S ribosomal RNA
Rfam family: Bacterial small subunit ribosomal RNA
Source: RNAcentral
UUGAAUAAGCUGGCACCUUGACGGUACCUAACCAGAAAGCCACGGCUAACUACGUGCCAGCAGCCGCGGUAAUACGUAGGUGGCAAGCGUUAUCCGGAAUUAUUGGGCGUAAAGCGCGCGCAGGUGGUUUCUUAAGUCUGAUGUGAAAGCCCACGGCUCAACCGUGGAGGGUCAUUGGAAACUGGGAGACUUGAGUGCAGAAGAGGAAAG